ACACCCAGGCCUGAUUACUGCCACACCUGUUCUCAAUCAAGAAAUCACUUAAAUAGGACCUGCCUGACAAAGUGAAGUAGACCAAAAGAUCCUCAAAAGCUAGACAUCAUGCCGAGAUCCAAAGAAAUUCAGGAACAAAUGAGAAAGAAAGUAAUUGAGAUCUAUCAGUCUGGAAAAGGUUAUAAAGCCAUUUCUAAAGCUUUGGGACUCCAGCGAACCACAGUGAGAGCCAUUAUCCACAAAUGGCGAAAAAAUGGAACAGUGGUGAACCUUCCCAGGAGUGGCCGGCCGACCAAAAUUACACCAAGAGCGCAGCGACGACUCAUCCAAGAGGCCACAAAAGACCCCACAACAACAUCCAAAGAACUGCAGGCCUCACUUGCCUCAGUUAAGGUCAGUGUUCAUGACUCCACCAUAAGAAAGAGACUGGGCAAAAAUGGCCUGCAUGGCAGAGUUCCAAGACGAAAACCACUGCUGAGCAAAAACAACAUUAAGGCUCGUCUCAUUUUUGCCAGAAAACAACUUGAUGAUCCCCAAGACUUUUGGGAAAAUACUCUGUGGACUGACGAGACAAAAGUUGAACUUUUUGGAAGGUGUGUGUCCCAUUACAUCUGGUGUAAAAGUAACACCGCAUUUCAGAAAAAGAACAUCAUACCAACAGUAAAAUAUGGUGGUGGUAGUGUGAUGGUCUGGGGCUGUUUUGACCAUGGUUAUUCCUCUGGUUCUGAAAUUCAGUGGCAGCCCUUUGAAUUCGUGGCAAAUAAAUAUAAUGACAUGAUGUGCUACCUGAUUUACCCUAAGUUGUUCUGUUGGAAAUUUACUCACCAUAAUUGAUUAGGGGUUGAAACAACAAACCUUGAAAUAAUAUGGUUACAUUCACCUGUUUUGCGCCAGCGGCUGCCAAACAGUGUUUAUGCUGUUAUGUAUCGUUCUGUAUUUCUGGUGAACCUGCUUCAAAUCAAACAAGUUGUACAUCAAAUUACAGCUUAGAUUCCCCUCUUUCCAACAAGUAUUGGCUUUCCAUCCUAGCACAUUGUGCCUGCUUAUAAUCACACCUUUAGUGUGGUCAAUAUUGGAUACACCAGGUUAGUGCAAUCCAGGUCGAAAAGUCCAAUUGUUGAGCUUGACUCUAGUCUGGCACUGUGAAGAGACAUGAGAGGUGUAGAAUAAGUGGGAGGCCUCGCCCGCCGGUGAAAUACCACUACUCUUAUGGUUUUUUCACUUAUCCAGUGAGGUGGGGAAGCAGGCCCCGAGCGGGUUCUCGUUUCUGGCGUCAAGCACCCAGCCUGUGACCCAUCCUGGGGACAGUGACAGGUGGGGAUUUUGACUGGGGCGGUACACCUGUCAAACGGUAACGCAGGUGUCCUAAGGCGAGCUCAGGAAGUACAGAAACCUCCCGUGGAGCAGAAGGGCAAAAGCUUGCUUGAUCUUGAUUUUCAGUAUGAGUAUAGACUGUGAAUAUAGACUGUGUAUAGACUCACGAUCCUUCAGAUUUUUGGGGGUUUAAGCAGGAGGUGUCAGAAAAGUUACCACAGGGAUAACUGGCUUGUGGUGGCCAAGCGUUCAUAGCGACGUAGCUUUUUGAUUCUUCAAUGUCGGUUCUUCCUAUCAUUGUGAAGCAGAAUUCACCAAGCACUGGAUUGUUCACCCACUAAUAGGGUGCUGAGCUGGUUUUAGACCGUCAUGAGACAGGUUUGUUUUACCCUACUGACGAAUAGUAAUCCUGCUCAGUACGAGUGGAACCGCAGGUUCAGACAUUUGGUGCAUGUGCUUCACUGUGGAGCCAAUGGGGCGAAGCUACCAUCUGUGGGCUUAUGACUGAACGCCUCUAAGUCAGAGGUCUCGGUUAGCCGGACCUCGUGUGCCUUUUACACAGCCCACCUCCAUCCACCGCCUCAGUGCACAUUGCGAUACAUCCCUGUCAUUUUGGGGGUUACGGGGGCACCCGCAGGCAGUAAUGGUCAGGACCUCUGCGGUUCCGGGGGACCCCCAGGGCCGAGGGUUUAAGAGUAAAUCUGGGCCUGAAACUGAAAGUGUGUCACAUGGCUGACAACAUUAUCAAGCCACAGUCCAUUGUCUAGCUUUUUAGUCUCUCUUCCUCCAUCUCC
RNAcentral lists this ribosomal RNA (2108 nucleotides) under Cyttopsis rosea (rosy dory). RNAcentral describes it as "eukaryotic LSU rRNA". The stretch from base 1098 to 1868 matches the Rfam family "Eukaryotic large subunit ribosomal RNA", at positions 2389 to 3399 of the family's 3401-position model. Lineage: Eukaryota; Metazoa; Chordata; Actinopteri; Zeiformes; Parazenidae. The record is from RNAcentral.